RNAcentral lists this ribosomal RNA (1531 nucleotides) under Serratia plymuthica. Its description in RNAcentral is "bacterial SSU rRNA". It matches the Rfam family "Bacterial small subunit ribosomal RNA". The record is from RNAcentral. Lineage: Bacteria; Pseudomonadati; Pseudomonadota; Gammaproteobacteria; Enterobacterales; Yersiniaceae.
AGUUUGAUCCUGGCUCAGAUUGAACGCUGGCGGCAGGCCUAACACAUGCAAGUCGAGCGGUAGCACAGGGGAGCUUGCUCCCUGGGUGACGAGCGGCGGACGGGUGAGUAAUGUCUGGGAAACUGCCUGAUGGAGGGGGAUAACUACUGGAAACGGUAGCUAAUACCGCAUAACGUCUACGGACCAAAGUGGGGGACCUUCGGGCCUCACGCCAUCAGAUGUGCCCAGAUGGGAUUAGCUAGUAGGUGGGGUAAUGGCUCACCUAGGCGACGAUCCCUAGCUGGUCUGAGAGGAUGACCAGCCACACUGGAACUGAGACACGGUCCAGACUCCUACGGGAGGCAGCAGUGGGGAAUAUUGCACAAUGGGCGCAAGCCUGAUGCAGCCAUGCCGCGUGUGUGAAGAAGGCCUUAGGGUUGUAAAGCACUUUCAGCGAGGAGGAAGGGUACGAGUGUUAAUAGCACAGUGCAUUGACGUUACUCGCAGAAGAAGCACCGGCUAACUCCGUGCCAGCAGCCGCGGUAAUACGGAGGGUGCAAGCGUUAAUCGGAAUUACUGGGCGUAAAGCGCACGCAGGCGGUUUGUUAAGUCAGAUGUGAAAUCCCCGCGCUUAACGUGGGAACUGCAUUUGAAACUGGCAAGCUAGAGUCUUGUAGAGGGGGGUAGAAUUCCAGGUGUAGCGGUGAAAUGCGUAGAGAUCUGGAGGAAUACCGGUGGCGAAGGCGGCCCCCUGGACAAAGACUGACGCUCAGGUGCGAAAGCGUGGGGAGCAAACAGGAUUAGAUACCCUGGUAGUCCACGCUGUAAACGAUGUCGAUUUGGAGGUUGUGCCCUUGAGGCGUGGCUUCCGGAGCUAACGCGUUAAAUCGACCGCCUGGGGAGUACGGCCGCAAGGUUAAAACUCAAAUGAAUUGACGGGGGCCCGCACAAGCGGUGGAGCAUGUGGUUUAAUUCGAUGCAACGCGAAGAACCUUACCUACUCUUGACAUCCAGAGAAUUCGCUAGAGAUAGCUUAGUGCCUUCGGGAACUCUGAGACAGGUGCUGCAUGGCUGUCGUCAGCUCGUGUUGUGAAAUGUUGGGUUAAGUCCCGCAACGAGCGCAACCCUUAUCCUUUGUUGCCAGCGAUUCGGUCGGGAACUCAAAGGAGACUGCCGGUGAUAAACCGGAGGAAGGUGGGGAUGACGUCAAGUCAUCAUGGCCCUUACGAGUAGGGCUACACACGUGCUACAAUGGCGUAUACAAAGAGAAGCGAACUCGCGAGAGCAAGCGGACCUCAUAAAGUACGUCGUAGUCCGGAUUGGAGUCUGCAACUCGACUCCAUGAAGUCGGAAUCGCUAGUAAUCGUAGAUCAGAAUGCUACGGUGAAUACGUUCCCGGGCCUUGUACACACCGCCCGUCACACCAUGGGAGUGGGUUGCAAAAGAAGUAGGUAGCUUAACCUUCGGGAGGGCGCUUACCACUUUGUGAUUCAUGACUGGGGUGAAGUCGUAACAAGGUAACCGUAGGGGAACCUGCGGCUGGAUCACCUCC